AAACUUUUCAGCUAGAGUAUGAUAGAGGAAAGUAGAAUUUCUAGUGUAGAGGUGAAAUUCGUAGAUAUUAGAAAGAAUACCAAUUGCGAAGGCAGCUUUCUGGAUCAUUACUGACACUGAGGAACGAAAGCAUGGGUAGCGAAGAGGAUUAGAUACCCUCGUAGUCCAUGCCGUAAACGAUGUGUGUUAGACGUUGGAAAUUUAUUUUCAGUGUCGCAGGGAAACCGAUAAACACACCGCCUGGGGAGUACGACCGCAAGGUUAAAACUCAAAUGAAUUGACGGGGACCCGCACAAGUAGUGGAGCAUGUGGUUUAAUUCGAAGAUACGCGCAGAACCUUACCAACACUUGACAUGUUCGUCGCGACUCUAAGAGAUUAGAGUUUUCGGUUCGGCCGGACGAAACACAGGUGCUGCAUGGCUGUCGUCAGCUCGUGUCGUGAGAUGUUGGGUUAAGUCCCGCAACGAGCGCAACCCUCACUUUUAGUUGCCAUCAUUAAGUUGGGCACUCUGAAAGAACUGCCAGUGAUAAGCUGGAGGAAGGUGGGGAUGACGUCAAGUCCUCAUGGCCCUUACGUGUUGGGCUACACACGUGCUACAAUGGUAUCUACAACAGGAAGCAAGACUGCGAAGUUAAGCAAAUCCCUAAAAGAUACCUCAGUUCGGAUUGCACUCUGCAACUCGAGUGCAUGAAGCUGGAAUUACUAGUAAUCGUGGAUCAGCGUGCCACGGUGAAUGCGUUCCCGGGUCUUGUACACACCGCCCGUCACACCAUGGGAGUUGGUUCUACCUUAAGGCAAGGUUUCAAACCCUUGACCACGGUAUAGUCAGCGACUGGGGUGAAGUCGUAACAAGGUAGCCGUA
Molecule: ribosomal RNA, 863 nt
Filed under: uncultured bacterium
Lineage: Bacteria
Description: bacterial SSU rRNA
Rfam family: Bacterial small subunit ribosomal RNA
Source: RNAcentral